Molecule: ribosomal RNA, 766 nt
Filed under: uncultured bacterium
Lineage: Bacteria
Description: bacterial SSU rRNA
Rfam family: Bacterial small subunit ribosomal RNA
Source: RNAcentral
GACGAACGCUGGCGGCGCGCCUAACACAUGCAAGUCGAACGGAGCUGAGAGAAGCUUGCUUUUCUUGACUUAGUGGCGAACGGGUGAGUAACGCGUGAGUAACCUGCCCUGGAGUGGGGGACAACAGUUGGAAACGACUGCUAAUACCGCAUAAGCCCACGGAUUCGCAUGGAUCUGCGGGAAAAGGAUUUAUUCGCUUCAGGAUGGACUCGCGUCCAAUUAGCUAGUUGGUGAGGUAACGGCCCACCAAGGCGACGAUUGGUAGCCGGACUGAGAGGUUGAACGGCCACAUUGGGACUGAGACACGGCCCAGACUCCUACGGGAGGCAGCAGUGGGGGAUAUUGCACAAUGGGGGAAACCCUGAUGCAGCGACGCCGCGUGGAGGAAGAAGGUUUUCGGAUUGUAAACUCCUGUCGUUAGGGACGAUAAUGACGGUACCUAACAAGAAAGCACCGGCUAACUACGUGCCAGCAGCCGCGGUAAAACGUAGGGUGCAAGCGUUGUCCGGAAUUACUGGGUGUAAAGGGAGCGCAGGCGGACCGGCAAGUUGGAAGUGAAAACUAUGGGCUCAACCCAUAAAUUGCUUUCAAAACUGCUGGCCUUGAGUAGUGCAGAGGUAGGUGGAAUUCCCGGUGUAGCGGUGGAAUGCGUAGAUAUCGGGAGGAACACCAGUGGCGAAGGCGACCUACUGGGCACCAACUGACGCUGAGGCUCGAAAGCAUGGGUAGCAAACAGGAUUAGAUACCCUGGUAGUCCAUGCCGUAA